GGCUCGGGGGUCCCAGUUCC
RNAcentral lists this non-coding RNA (20 nucleotides) under Arabidopsis thaliana (thale cress). The record is from RNAcentral. Lineage: Eukaryota; Viridiplantae; Streptophyta; Magnoliopsida; Brassicales; Brassicaceae.